GACGAACGCUGGCGGCGUGCUUAACACAUGCAAGUCGAACGGAAAGGCCCUGCUUUUGUGGGGUGCUCGAGUGGCGAACGGGUGAGUAACACGUGAGUAACCUGCCCUUGACUUUGGGAUAACUUCAGGAAACUGGGGCUAAUACCGGAUAGGAGCUCCUGCUGCAUGGUGGGGGUUGGAAAGUUUCGGCGGUUGGGGAUGGACUCGCGGCUUAUCAGCUUGUUGGUGGGGUAGUGGCUUACCAAGGCUUUGACGGGUAGCCGGCCUGAGAGGGUGACCGGCCACAUUGGGCCUGAGAGACGGCCCAGACUCCUACGGGGGGCAGAAGUGGGGAAUAUUGCACAAUGGGGCGAAGCCUGAGGCAGCAACGCCGCGUGCGGGAUGACGGCCUUCGGGUUGUAAACCGCUUUCGCCUGUGACGAAGCGUGAGUGACGGUAAUGGGUAAAGAAGCACCGGCUAACUACGUG
RNAcentral lists this ribosomal RNA (468 nucleotides) under uncultured bacterium. RNAcentral's name for it is "partial 16S ribosomal RNA". It matches the Rfam family "Bacterial small subunit ribosomal RNA", at positions 28 to 507 of the family's 1533-position model. The record is from RNAcentral.